GGAUCCUAGCGUUGUUCGGAAUUAUUGGGCGUAAAGCGGAUGUAGGUGGCUUUGUAAGUCAGAUGUGAAAGCCCAGGGCUCAACCCUGGAAGUGCAUUUGAUACUGCGAAGCUUGAGUGUCGGAGAGGUUACUAGAAUUGUUGGUGUAGUGGUGAAAUACGUAGAUAUCAACAGGAAUACCGGAGUUGAAGGCGGGUACCUGGCCGAACACUCUCGUUGAGAUCCUAAAGCGUGGGGAUCAAACAAGAUUAGAUAACCGGGUAGUCCUCCCCGUAAACGAUGGAUACUUGGUAAGGGAGGGGUGGCCCACUGUGAUGCAAGA
RNAcentral lists this ribosomal RNA (322 nucleotides) under Bdellovibrio bacteriovorus. Its description in RNAcentral is "bacterial SSU rRNA". It matches the Rfam family "Bacterial small subunit ribosomal RNA", at positions 530 to 852 of the family's 1533-position model. Lineage: Bacteria; Pseudomonadati; Bdellovibrionota; Bdellovibrionia; Bdellovibrionales; Pseudobdellovibrionaceae. The record is from RNAcentral.